Molecule: non-coding RNA, 260 nt
Organism: Pantherophis guttatus
Lineage: Eukaryota; Metazoa; Chordata; Lepidosauria; Squamata; Colubridae
Source: RefSeq, a predicted model, not a curated record
AAAUGCCACCAAGAUUUUGAAAGAUUUGGGCACAUUCUUUUUUCACCAAUUCCUCUCUCCUGGGUGUUCCCAAAUGCUUCCAAAUAUUUGGCUUCAGAGAAGAGGAGAAGAAAAACUGGAGUGCUGCACGUAAGCACUGCAGAAACCUAGAAGGAAACCUGGCUAGUAUACCAAACAAAGAUGUUCAAGCUUUUCUCACAGUAAAUUUAAAAAGUGCUGCUGGUGAUACUUGGAUUGGAUUAAGUGACAAGAAUUGGCAU